This 42-nucleotide ribosomal RNA is filed under the name uncultured freshwater diatom. RNAcentral's name for it is "partial 28S ribosomal RNA". The record is from RNAcentral. Lineage: Eukaryota; Bacillariophyta.
GAUCUCAGCUCAAACAAGGGGACCCGCUGAACUUAAGCAUAU